GACGAACGCUGGCGGCGUGCUUAACACAUGCAAGUCGAACGGAAAGGCCCUGCUUUUGUGGGGUGCUCGAGUGGCGAACGGGUGAGUCACACGUGAGUAACCUGCCCUUGACUUUGGGAUAACUUCAGGAAACUGGGGCUACUACCGGAUAGGAGCUCCUGCUGCAUGGUGGGGGUUGGAAAGUUUCGGCGGUUGGGGAUGGACUCGCGGCUUAUCAGCUUGUUGGUGGGGUAGUGGCUUACCAAGGCUUUGACGGGUAGCCGGCCUGAGAGGGUGACCGGCGACAUUGGGACUGAGAUACGGCCCAGACUCCUACGGGAGGCAGCAGUGGGGAAUAUUGCACAAUGGGCGGAAGCCUGAGGCAGCAACGCCGCGUGCGGGAUGACGGCCUUCGGGUUGUAAACCGCUUUCGCCUGUGACGAAGCGUGAGUGACGGUAAUGGGUAAAGAAGCACCGGCUAACUACGUG
This 468-nucleotide ribosomal RNA is filed under the name uncultured bacterium. RNAcentral's name for it is "partial 16S ribosomal RNA". It matches the Rfam family "Bacterial small subunit ribosomal RNA", at positions 28 to 507 of the family's 1533-position model. The record is from RNAcentral.